UCCUCCCGCUCGCCGUUAGGGAGGCUUUGCGCUUCAGCCGGUCCCUCUGCCGCCUCCGCUCCCGCCCCCUCUUCUGCGUCUCCGCCGCCUCCGCCGCCUGGAGAAUCCAGGGGUCGCUUACCGGGCUGGCCCCGCGCCUCCUCCGUCGCUUCAGCCGCCCGCCAGCGGUCUCCCCAAGAAGAGGCUCGCCGGCCGCGGAGCCGCUUGGGGCCUCAGUUCUCUUCCUCUUGCCGUCGCCGCGGGUCCUGGAGAAGCGGCCGUGGCUGGGAAACGGGGCACCGCGGUUCCAACGGUAAUGAUAAAAAUACUUACGUUGGGCAUUUACCCUACUUUCAAGGAGCUGAUCAUUUAAGGAUGGUAACCGGAACCACGAUGUAAUACAGGCUAUAAGCAUAAAAUAACUGGAAUGCACUUGUGCGGCUUGAUUGAUGUAAGGCUGUCUUCAGCGUUCCUUACUGUAACCCUGUAAUAGGCCGUGGCCUGGGUUUCUC
This 491-nucleotide long non-coding RNA is filed under the name Dasypus novemcinctus (nine-banded armadillo). RNAcentral's name for it is "lncRNA (ENSDNOG00000052564.1)". Lineage: Eukaryota; Metazoa; Chordata; Mammalia; Cingulata; Dasypodidae. The record is from RNAcentral.